CAACCUUUGGUUUCUCUUUGGGGAAAGCUGCUUUCAGCACAUACGGGAAGCUAUCGGAAGCAUCCUAGGAUCAGGACACCCCAGAUCUUCUUGACUGGAGCCACGAAGGCUGUUUCUUCCACACAGCACUUUGAUCUGCAUUUAAGAUCCAAACCCACCAGUCACGAACCUAAGGAUGAAAGCAAAGGCUCAGCGGUUGACCUGGGACCUUAAUAGAAAUGUGACCGAUAUCGAGUGUGUCAAAGACGCCGACUAUUCUAUGCCGGUAUCUGGUGAUGCAGAGACUCUUUCCCCUCAUCCCUCACAUGAAAGACCCCAUCGGUGACAGCUUCCAAAACGACAAGCUGGUGGUCUGGGAGGCGGGCAAAGUCUGCCUGGAGGAGUGUCUGGUGACUGAGGUACAGGUCGUGCAGAAAACUUGAGACUGGGGUUCAGGGCCUGUGGGGGGCUGCCUCAAAUCUCCCUGGCCAGGCCAGGCGCCUGCACAGACUAGCUGCUGGACCUGCGCACGCAGCCCAGGAAUGGACGUUCCUAAUGGGCGGUGGGCGUGGGAGAUGCCUGCGUAAUUUAGUCUGAAGCUGCCAGGAACAGGAAAGAACAGAACUUUGUGUGUUUAUUUCAUGAUAAAAUGCUUUUUUUUUUUUUUUUUUUAACCCACUCACUGGUCCCCGUCUCUGGAUUCACCCCCGUUCCUCCAACACUACAAGAUUGUUUCCACUGGUUUUUUUUUUGGAGAUGGAGUCUCGCUCUGUCACCCAGGCUGGAGUGCAGUGAUGCAGUCUCAGCUCACUGCAACCUUCGCCUCCCGGGUUCAAGCGAUUCCCCUGCCUCAGCCUCCCAAGUAGCUGGGAUUACAGGUGCCCGCCACCACCCGCGACUAAUUUUUGUAUUUUCAGUACAGAUGGGGUUUCACCAUGUUGGCCAGGUUGAUCUCUUGGCCAGGCUGGUCUCGAACUCCUGACCUUGUAAUCCACCUGCCUUGGCCUCCCAAAGUGCUGGGAUUACAGGCGUGAGCCACCACACCUGGAGUUUUUUCUUUUUUUGAGACCGAGUCUCGGUCUGUCACCCAGGCUGGAGUGCAGUGACGCGAUCUCGGCUCACUGCAACCUCCGCCUCCGGGGUUCAAACGUGUCCUGCCUCAGCUUCCUGAGUAGCUGGGAUUACAGGCACCUGCCACCACACCUGGCCAAUUUUUGUAUUUUUAGUAGAGAUGGGGUUUCACCAUGUUGGCUAGGCUGGUCUUGAACUCCUGACCUCAAGUGAUCCACCCGCCUCGUCCUCUCAAAGUACUGGGAUUACAGGCGUGAGCCACAGUGCCCAGCUUCCAGUGUUUUAUAACUGCCUCCUCCAGGACUUCUGAGAAACACAUCAGCUUUACUGCUUUCCGAGGGUGCCAGAUGUCCAGCCUGGCCUGUCUGUCCUCUCCGGCCCCCAGUUGUACACAUGACCCUGGCUGUAUGGCUUUUUAUUUUUUGUGACGGAGUCUCACUCUGUCGCCAGGCUGGAGUGCAAUGGCACGAUCUCGGCUCACUGCAACCUCCACCUCCGGGUUUCAAGCGAUUCCCCUGCCUUAGCCUCCCGAGUAGCUGGGAUUACAGGCGUGCGCCACCACGCCUGGCUAAUUUUUGUAUUUUUAGUAGAGACGGGGUUUCAUCACAUUAGCCAGGCUGGUCUCGAUCUCUUGACCUGGUGAUCCACCUUCCUCGGCCUCCCAAAGUGCUGGGAUUACAGGCGUGAGCCACCGCGCCCAGCCUGGCUGCCCGUCUCUUUCUAAGCCACCUUACAGGGCUUGUGUAGCCAGGUACACUCCAAUGUCCCUAAAUGUGCUGUGUCCACGCACCUUUUUACCCACAGACGUGAGGAGCUGCCCACAUCCGGCGGGGGCUCUGGGAUCUGCCCUGACAGGUUCAGUUGUGCUCACACCCCGAGGCCAGCCUGGGCUCUUUUCUCCCCACCCUGGCCUGACCUGUGUCCCCGCCCUCAUUCCCCAGAGCUGGAUGGAUGCUGGCUUGACUUCUGACCCCCUCCCCAGGCCCUGUCUCCCGGUUGGGAUCUUCCCCACUAAGCCUCUGCUGGGUGUGAGGGCCAAACUGAAAACAGGGGUACUUGGAGCUGCAGGACCAGCGUCGCCUGUGUGUGGCGAGGGAGGCCGGGCAGCCUGGCGCAGGAAAGCAGGGAGAAGGAAUCCAGGCAGCAGUGACGCUGGCAAGGAGGGAGCCCACCAGCCCACCUGCAGCCCCUGGGGACGGUCCCAACGUCUGCGGGUUGAACGUAAAACACGGAGCCCUCCCAGGGAGUCCUGGAUGCCCCACUAUAAAUCCACAGGAAGGAACUGUUAUUUUUUUUUUAGAUGGAGUCUAGCUCUGUCAC
Long non-coding RNA from Symphalangus syndactylus (siamang), 2370 nucleotides. RefSeq lists it as uncharacterized. The record is from RefSeq and is a predicted model, not a curated record. Lineage: Eukaryota; Metazoa; Chordata; Mammalia; Primates; Hylobatidae.